This 1602-nucleotide ribosomal RNA is filed under the name Antrodia hingganensis. Its description in RNAcentral is "eukaryotic LSU rRNA". The stretch from base 629 to 1602 matches the Rfam family "Eukaryotic large subunit ribosomal RNA", at positions 1 to 961 of the family's 3401-position model. Lineage: Eukaryota; Fungi; Basidiomycota; Agaricomycetes; Polyporales; Fomitopsidaceae. The record is from RNAcentral.
UAGAGGAAGUAAAAGUCGUAACAAGGUUUCCGUAGGUGAACCUGCGGAAGGAUCAUUAAUGAAUUUUGAAAGGGGUUGUAGCUGGUCUUUUCCRAGACAUGUGCACGCCCUGCUCAUCCAUUCUACCCCUGUGCACACUCUGUAGGUCGGUUUUGAAGUGAUUCCUCACGGAAUUGCUCGGGCCUUCCUAUGUUUUYAUACAAACACUUUAAAGUCAAAGAAUGUAAUCGCGUGUAACGCAUUUAAUACAACUUUCAGCAACGGAUCUCUUGGCUCUCGCAUCGAUGAAGAACGCAGCGAAAUGCGAUAAGUAAUGUGAAUUGCAGAAUUCAGUGAAUCAUCGAAUCUUUGAACGCACCUUGCGCUCCUUGGUAUUCCGAGGAGCAUGCCUGUUUGAGUGUCAUGGAAUUCUCAACCCUCUUAUCUUUGUUAUGAGAUGGGCUUGGACUUGGAGGUUAUUGCCGGCUUGUCAUGAGUCUGGCUCCUCUUGAAUUCAUUAGCUUGAACCCUUGUGGAUCGGCUACUCGGUGUGAUAAUUGUCUACGCYGUGUGCYGUGAAGCUUUCAAACACUUUGUUGUGUUGAGGGAUUUGCUUCUAAUCGUCCUUCAAUGGACAAUUUUUGACCUCUGACCUCAAAUCAGGUAGGAUUACCCGCUGAACUUAAGCAUAUCAAUAAGCGGAGGAAAAGAAACUAACAAGGAUUCCCCUAGUAACUGCGAGUGAAGCGGGAAAAGCUCAAAUUUAAAAUCUGGCGGCUUUUGGCUGUCCGAGUUGUAGUCUGGAGAAGUGCUUUCCGCGCUGGACCGUGUACAAGUCUCUUGGAACAGAGCGUCAUAGAGGGUGAGAAUCCCGUCUUUGACACGGACUACCAGUGCUUUGUGAUGCGCUCUCAAAGAGUCGAGUUGUUUGGGAAUGCAGCUCAAAAUGGGUGGUAAAUUCCAUCUAAAGCUAAAUAUUGGCGAGAGACCGAUAGCGAACAAGUACCGUGAGGGAAAGAUGAAAAGCACUUUGGAAAGAGAGUUAAACAGUACGUGAAAUUGCUGAAAGGGAAACGCUUGAAGUCAGUCGCGUUGUCCAGAACUCAGCCUUGCUUUUGCUUGGUGCACUUUCUGGUUGACGGGCCAGCAUCAAUUUUGAUUGUUGGAUAAAGGCWGGGGGAAUGUGGCACCUUCGGGUGUGUUAUAGCCCUCGGUCACAUACAACAGUUGGGAUUGAGGAUCUCAGCACGCCUUUAUGGUCGGGGUUCGCCCACGUUCGUGCUUAGGAUGCUGGCAUAAUGGCUUUAAACGACCCGUCUUGAAACACGGACCAAGGAGUCUAACAUGCCUGCGAGUGUUUGGGUGGAAAACCCGAGCGCGUAAUGAAAGUGAAAGUUGAGAUCCCUGUCAUGGGGAGCAUCGACGCCCGGACCUGACCUUCUGUGACGGCUCCGCGGUAGAGCAUGUAUGUUGGGACCCGAAAGAUGGUGAACUAUGCCUGAAUAGGGUGAAGCCAGAGGAAACUCUGGUGGAGGCUCGUAGCGAUUCUGACGUGCAAAUCGAUCGUCAAAUUUGGGUAUAGGGGCGAAAGACUAAUCGAACCAUCUAGUAGCUGGUUCCUGC